CUAAGCACUAAAAUCGCUGAUUAAAACUUAAAGAGCAUGGCGGUCACAAAAAAGUUCAGGGGAACUUACCAAGUAAUAGACAACCCACAAGUUACCCUUCUUGUUUUACAGUUUGUAUACCGCCGUCUAAGUAUUACUUAUGGUAGUGCUAAAAUAGUUUACUAAAAGGACAGGUCAUGGUGCAGCUAAUAAACAAGUUUAGGCGAGUUACAAUAAAAAUUUUUUUUUCAAAAAUUUUUAAACUAUUUUGUGAAGUGGACUUGAAAGUAAUAUUUAAAAUAAAUAUAAUCUGAAUGCUUAUUUUGUGGUGC
This 311-nucleotide ribosomal RNA is filed under the name Paromoionchis goslineri. RNAcentral's name for it is "partial 12S ribosomal RNA". Lineage: Eukaryota; Metazoa; Mollusca; Gastropoda; Systellommatophora; Onchidiidae. The record is from RNAcentral.